This 1254-nucleotide long non-coding RNA is filed under the name Coturnix japonica (Japanese quail). RNAcentral's name for it is "lncRNA (ENSCJPG00005014330.1)". Lineage: Eukaryota; Metazoa; Chordata; Aves; Galliformes; Phasianidae. The record is from RNAcentral.
GCAAUAACUACGUUGUGUGUUUUCCCUGUUACAGACUUGAGCUGACACCUUUACUUCACUGUAUGGGUGGACACAGAAGAAUCAUGCAGUAUUGCCUUCAGCCUUCUCUCAAAGACAUCCUCUCUUGGAUUGAGCUAUAUUUUAAGAAUUAAAAAGAGAAAAGAAGAGGGAAAAACCUUGAAAUAGAGAUUUUAAUUCAAAGGCAUUCAUAAUUCUGGACAUUGUCACUGGAUGUUUCUGCAUCAAAUUCCCCAAUGUUGUGUGGUGCCACAGGCUGAUGUACUUGAAUGACUGAAGCUCAAGUAUCAUGCAAGACCACUUCUGCUCACCCAAAGAUGACUGUCUGCAUUGAAGCUGUCAGCAGAGGUCCCUGUGGUCUGCCAAAACCUGGAUCUUCCAUUUUUCUUAUCUUUGAGGAUAUGAAGACAGGCAAAACUAUCAGAUCAUCAUCGCACAAAGAAUUUAUGAAAGAAAAAUGUUUCCUUGUCUUGGAGUUGGGUAAUUAAAACUUUCUUCCUGAUCAGUUCACUGAAUACCAAAGCAGACAUUUACCAUCUCUCUUUAGUACCCGGAAUUCCAAUUUUUUUUCUAAUGGAAAAGAAAAAAACCUGUGUUUUAGGGAACUAACACACUCAUGACUUACCUGUGCUCUUUGAAAAAAGCAGUGAUAAUCUUUAGCAUUGCUCUCUUGACUUUGUUUCAUCGUGCUUUUUAAUGCAAAUUUCCUAAUCUAACUUGUAAAACAUUUAAUAUUUAGAAUAUACUCCUUUAAGAUCCAUCAAAAGAAGCAAAGCUGCAUAACAAUGCCUGGUGCUGGCGCAUUGUGAGUCUGCUACAAAGGAAUGAGGUGAUUCUUUCUUUCAGGUCACAAGGUCAGGCUUCACUGCAUUAAUUUUGCUGAGUCUCUUUGUUAUUUAUAACAAACAAGGUCAUUUAUUUUCAUUUCCUUGUUUCUAAUUGCAUGCAUCUCCUUUGGAGUAUGAACUCAGUAAACAGGUGGCUGAAAUGCUGGGGAAAAUGCUUGAAGCUGUUCCAGAAAAAAGGGCAUGUCCCACACUGGUAAAGCAAUUUGAUGAGUUAGAGAUUUAGUCAUAGCAGGAUGUGCACCUGCUUGAAAGCAAACACGCUUCUCUUUGGCACUCACAGAUACAUGCAAAUUAAAAGAGAUUAUUUCACUCUGAAUGGUGGGCUGAUAUUUGAUCAAAUUUAACAUUUUCUAUUUUAAAUAAAGCCUUGGUGUAUAUUAGUGAAACA